Molecule: ribosomal RNA, 94 nt
Filed under: Escherichia coli O55:H7 str. USDA 5905
Lineage: Bacteria; Pseudomonadati; Pseudomonadota; Gammaproteobacteria; Enterobacterales; Enterobacteriaceae
Description: partial 23S ribosomal RNA
Source: RNAcentral
CGUUUAGAGACGACGACGUUGAUAGGCCGGGUGUGUAAGCGCAGCGAUGCGUUGAGACUAACCGGUACUAAUGAACCGUGAGGCUUAACCUUAC